This 1358-nucleotide ribosomal RNA is filed under the name bacterium NLAE-zl-G443. RNAcentral's name for it is "16S ribosomal RNA". It matches the Rfam family "Bacterial small subunit ribosomal RNA", at positions 90 to 1452 of the family's 1533-position model. The record is from RNAcentral.
GGCGACCGGCGCACGGGUGAGUAACACGUAUCCAACCUGCCGAUAACUCGGGGAUAACCCUUCGAAAGAAGGCCUAAUACCCGAUGGCAUAUCCCUUCCGCCUGGUUGGGAUAUUAAAGAACUUCGGUUAUCGAUGGGGAUGCGUUCCAUUAGCUUGUUGGCGGGGUAACGGCCCACCAAGGCUUCGAUGGAUAGGGGUUCUGAGAGGAAGGUCCCCCACAUUGGAACUGAGACACGGUCCAAACUCCUACGGGAGGCAGCAGUGAGGAAUAUUGGUCAAUGGACGAGAGUCUGAACCCAGCCAAGUAGCGUGAAGGAAUGAAGGUCCUAUGGAUUGUAAACNUUCUUUUAAUACGGGAAAUAAAGUGCAGUAUGCAUACUGUUUUUGUAUGUACCGUAUGAAUAAAGGAUCGGCUAACUCCGUGCCAGCAGCCGCGGUAAUACGGAGGAUCCGAGCGUUAUCCGGAUUUUAUUGGGUUUAAAGGGAGCGUAGGCGGANGGCUUAAGUCAGUUGUGAAAGUUUGCGGCUCAACCGUAAAAUUGCAGUUGAUACUGGGCCUCUUGAGUACAGUAGAGGCAGGCGGAAUUCGUGGUGUAGCGGUGAAAUGCUUAGAUAUCACGAAGAACUCCGAUUGCGAAGGCAGCCUGCUGGACUGUCACUGACGCUGAUGCUCGAAAGUGUGGGUAUCAAACAGGAUUAGAUACCCUGGUAGUCCACACAGUAAACGAUGAAUACUCGCUGUUGGCGAUACACGGUCAGCGGCCAAGCGAAAGCGUUAAGUAUUCCACCCUGGGGAGUACGCCGGCAACGGUGAAACUCAAAGGAAUUGACGGGGGCCCGCACAAGCGGAGGAACAUGUGGUUUAAUUCGAUGAUACGCGAGGAACCUUACCCGGGCUUGAAUUGCAUAUGAGUUAUCCGGAGACGGAUAAGCCGCAAGGCAUAUGUGAAGGUGCUGCAUGGUUGUCGUCAGCUCGUGCCGUGAGGUGUCGGCUUAAGUGCCAUAACGAGCGCAACCCUUAUCGAUAGUUACCAUCAGGUUAUGCUGGGGACUCUGUCGAGACUGCCGUCGUAAGAUGCGAGGAAGGUGGGGAUGACGUCAAAUCAGCACGGCCCUUACGUCCGGGGCCACACACGUGUUACAAUGGGGGGUACAGAAGGCCGCUACACAGCGAUGUGAUGCCAAUCCCCAAAACCCCUCUCAGUUCGGAUUGGAGUCUGCAACCCGACUCCAUGAAGCUGGAUUCGCUAGUAAUCGCGCAUCAGCCACGGCGCGGUGAAUACGUUCCCGGGCCUUGUACACACCGCCCGUCAAGCCAUGAAAGCCGGGGGUACCUGAAGUGCGUAACCGCGAGGAG